GAUGAAGAACGCAGCUAAAUGCGAUAAGUAAUGUGAAUUGCAGAAUUCAGUGAAUCAUCGAAUCUUUGAACGCACAUUUCGCCCGCCAGUAUUCUGGCGGGCAUGCCUGUUCGAGCGUCAUUUCAACCCUCAGGCCCCGCCUGGCGUUGGGGAUCGGCGCGGCCCUCUCCGGGCUGCCGGCCCCGAAAACUAGUGGCGGUCUCGCUGUAGUCCUCCUCUGCGCAGUAGCAACGCUCGCACUGGAACUCGGCGCGGCCACGCCGUAAAACACCCCACUUCUGAAAGUUGACCUCGGAUCAGGUAGGAAUACCCGCUGAACUUAAGCAUAUCAAUAAGCGGAGGA
RNAcentral lists this unclassified non-coding RNA (343 nucleotides) under soil metagenome. RNAcentral describes it as "partial contains 5.8S ribosomal RNA, internal transcribed spacer 2, and large subunit ribosomal RNA". The stretch from base 1 to 120 matches the Rfam family "5.8S ribosomal RNA", at positions 35 to 154 of the family's 154-position model. The record is from RNAcentral.